Molecule: transfer RNA, 82 nt
Filed under: Ixodes scapularis (black-legged tick)
Lineage: Eukaryota; Metazoa; Arthropoda; Arachnida; Ixodida; Ixodidae
Rfam family: tRNA
About the family: Transfer RNA (tRNA) molecules are approximately 80 nucleotides in length.
Source: Rfam by way of RNAcentral
GCAGUCGUGGCCGAGUGGUUUAGGCGAUGCACUAGAAAUCCAUUGGGGUCUCCCCGCAGAGGUUCGAAUCCUGUCGACUGCG